RNAcentral lists this transfer RNA (62 nucleotides) under Cucujoidea sp. 20 KM-2017. Its description in RNAcentral is "tRNA-Arg". The record is from RNAcentral. Lineage: Eukaryota; Metazoa; Arthropoda; Insecta; Coleoptera.
AAUAAGAAGCAAUAAUUGCAUUUAGUUUCGACCUAAAAGCCAGGUUAAAAUAACCCUUAUUU